This 798-nucleotide unclassified non-coding RNA is filed under the name uncultured cyanobacterium. RNAcentral's name for it is "partial contains 16S ribosomal RNA, 16S-23S ribosomal RNA intergenic spacer, and 23S ribosomal RNA". The stretch from base 1 to 112 matches the Rfam family "Bacterial small subunit ribosomal RNA", at positions 1423 to 1533 of the family's 1533-position model. Lineage: Bacteria; Bacillati; Cyanobacteriota. The record is from RNAcentral.
GAAGUCGUUACUCCAACCCUUGUGGAGGAGGACGCCGAAGGUGGGGCUAAUGACUGGGGUAAAGUCGUAACAAGGUAGCCGUACCGGAAGGUGCGGCUGGAUCGCCUCCUAACAGGGAGACAAUAAAUUGAUUGUGAUGUCUAAGUUAUUUAUUCUUAGGCCGCAAUCCUGUCACCUUAAGGUCGAUCGGUACCUCAGAUUUUUGAAUUAGUUUUACGAUUGAUUCUUUGAUUUCAGUUCCUAAACUUGUCUAGGUCACACCCAACAAAGGUUUCUCCUGGGCCAUUAGCUCAGGUGGUUAGAGCGCACCCCUGAUAAGGGUGAGGUCCCUGGUUCAAGUCCAGGAUGGCCCAUUCGUUGUUGGGGGUAUAGCUCAGUUGGUAGAGCGCCUGCUUUGCAAGCAGGAUGUCAGCGGUUCGAGUCCGCUUACCUCCACUGAAAACUAUCCUGAUAACUAAAUUUCUGGAGAAAAAAAUUGUAGAUGUGGCUUAGAAUUGUCUAUUUGAAAAGAACCUAGCUUCUUGUCAUCUUUUUAUAGUUGAUAAAAUGCUGGGCUCGCAUGGAUUAUUUCCAUGAGAUUUCAGUAGAACCUUGAAAACUGCAUAGAUUAGAAAGAAUAAAGCAUCUCAUGGAUGCAUAGUUCUGUUUUUAUAAUUUAGCCUUAAAACUAAAUUAUUUAAUCCUAGAAUUCAUGUUUAAUUCUUGAGUAAUAGCCGAGCACAAUUGAUUUUGUGAUUGUAUUAAAGGUCAAGCUACAAAGGGCUCAUGGCGGAUACCUUGGCACACAGAGGCGAUGAA